UACGUAGGGUGCGAGCGUUAAUUGGAAUUACUGGGCGUAAAGCGUGCGCAGGCGGCUUCGCAAGUCAGACGUGAAAUCCCCGGGCUUAACCUGGGAAUGGCGUUUGAAACUACGGAGCUGGAGUGUGGCAGAGGGAGGUAGAAUUCCACGUGUAGCGGUGAAAUGCGUAGAUAUGUGGAGGAAUACCGAUGGCGAAGGCAGCCUCCUGGGCCAACACUGACGCUCAUGCACGAAAGCGUGGGGAGCAAACAGG
This 253-nucleotide ribosomal RNA is filed under the name uncultured bacterium. RNAcentral describes it as "partial 16S ribosomal RNA". It matches the Rfam family "Bacterial small subunit ribosomal RNA", at positions 524 to 776 of the family's 1533-position model. The record is from RNAcentral.